UUGAGCGUCCGCUGCAACCUCACAGGUAGUAGAGUCCUAUAUCCAUUUUGUUACCUGUCGAUCCCUUGUCUCAGUGUGGAGCGUCGUUUAUGUAAAUCCUGCUCAUGUGGAAAAGCGAUCAGCCCUAUCACCAACUAUGUACUUCAGCAGCGCGGAUGUAGGUGUGUCCUCUCAAAUCGCUCCUGUUGCUGCACUGCGCAUGGAGACGCCGCCGCCAAGGAAUUGUGUACUGCUGAGAACCCUUUCGGAGGCUGUCUCCGUACAUGACGAGGAAUGAGAGUAUCACAGGGCCCUUCGACGUCGGUCCUCGGCAGACGGUCACGUGAGUUUGUCACGCCGAGCUUUGAACGCUUCCGACCCGAUCCGGGGAGGGCGUAUUUCGAAACCCUGACCGAUACAGAAGAGCGGCGGCGGCGGCAGCAGAAAACCCCGAAAACCCGAUGCGUUUGCUGUACGGCAUGCUGUACGGACGCCGAUGCCGACGGUGGCUAUCGCCCACAGGGCAGGGCGGAGGGUGGUGAAAUGAAAUGUACUGGAGAACAAGGUUAGGUUGGAACACGCACGUAAUUUUGAAGUUCUUUACUAUGUGUUUGGAUUACAAGCAAGGGUGGGUCGAAUUUGACUACCCCUGGGUCUGUAGAUGAGACGGAACGUUACGAAGUUAUAGUUGAAACCAGACAGAUAUUCGGAGAAUGUGUUACGCCAAGGGCCCGAAACUCGCCAGUUCCUUUGCGGGAUAAAGUGAGGCGCUUCAUGCGUUUCACGUUAUCGGACGUCAGAAAACGUCACAAAUUGAACGUCAUGGAGACAUCCGGUGGCUAGUGAUUACUGAUUGGUUCCCAUGAGGAUGAAUUCGUUUUCUGAGCGAUGAUUGGCUGUUUUCAAAUUUGUUCGCGAGCGCUCGAACAGGCGACAGCGCGACGGCUGUGCCAGUUGGAACCGGCGUCCACGGAGUCGCCGGCGUUCGUUUCGGACGGCUCGCGUUGUGUAGCAGUUGUGUUGGACUAUGAGUUCUGAUUUUUCCUGUUUAAAAACGCCAGCUGUAUCAUGUGAGCGUCCUCGAACAGUCACAGCUGCCAGGGAAGAUGCCUGCGCAACAUUUGUGCUCUGCUUCUUGGUGUAGAAACUAUUCGAGCGUCCGACCGCCUCGUACCCGAUACCUGGUCAACGACUGCCGAGAGCCACUGAGCUCCAGUUCCCAGUAGCAGUCCUUGCCAGAGGCAGUCCGACAUCAUCAGGCUUCUUCAAGCAAAUUCUGGAGCAAUAUUAAUGUCAUCCUGUGUACGUCUUGCAUGUAUAACCGUAUGUCGCACAAUAAAAUACUUCAUGUGACAAAAACAACCAAGGCUCAGUCGUAUUCCUGUAACUCCCACUGCAUUCCGACAAACGCGAGCAAAAAAAAAAAACAGUGCAUGGAAGAAAAAAAGGAACAGCAAAAGAGGACGGGAAGCAGAGCAGAAAGGAGGAAAGUAGUAAGAGAGAAACGGAUGACACGUCAUUUACGUCAUUCGCGACAUAAUAAAAAAAAAUAGUGUGGCUAGUCCUCAGUCAUUGGUCGAGCUCCGGAGGUCACGUGAGUUUUUUGCUACAAUAGAUUUCUACUACAGCUUCGCGCCCCUGGUUACGCCAUAUAAAGCAAGAGGGCAACAACUGUUAAUUUGAACGUUCGGAAACUGUCACACAAGGAACAGUAUGUCCUGUCGCACUGUUAAUGUCAAUGUCAUUCUUUCCCUGUCCGAUUUAGUAUGUGCCUCGACCCACAUUCGAAGCACAUCAAAACAGUCUCUUGCGUCAAAACAGUUGUCAUUUAGGAGCCUCCACUGAUAAUUCAUAUGCUGUGACUAAACAGCGUGCGUAGAAUUGAUCCACUGUACUGAACUGUCAAUACGAUGUGUCAUGCUAUGUGUUGCUUUAGAGUGUGUAAUGCUAAGGCUGAGACAUACACUGAAGGCAGGAACACAAACAGGCUAUCUGUAUUUCAAUGCAAAAGUGAAGACCUUGUUGUACUUAUUAUAUCUCCAUACAGAUAAUAAGUACUUACAAACGUCAGCACACACUAGUAGACAGGUCCCAAUAGUAUUAUACUCUAGGGAAUUUUUGUAAAUUUUGUUAUAUUUUGCAACAUCAACAACCGCAACAAACUUGCAGGCGAGUCAAUCGAACGACAGAUGUGGCGUGACUUGUAUUGAAGGAAAAUGAUAUUGUGUCAAAUAAAGAAUAAUGUAAUGA
Ornithodoros turicata is the source of this 2229-nucleotide long non-coding RNA. RefSeq lists it as uncharacterized. The transcript has 2 exons. The record is from RefSeq and is a predicted model, not a curated record. Lineage: Eukaryota; Metazoa; Arthropoda; Arachnida; Ixodida; Argasidae.